Glycine soja is the source of this 421-nucleotide long non-coding RNA. RefSeq lists it as uncharacterized. The transcript has 2 exons. The record is from RefSeq and is a predicted model, not a curated record. NCBI's taxonomy places the organism in Eukaryota, Viridiplantae, Streptophyta, Magnoliopsida, Fabales, Fabaceae.
ACGAUUACCUCUCACCAAGCCAGAUCAAACCCUAACGCCGUUUCUUGUACCACUCGCAGAAAAUUCCGCAACAAACAGGGAGCAAGAUUAUGCUGUGGAUUGGAUGACACUGGUGGGUGGCCUAGCAAAAUCAUCGAUUCUAGGAAAAUGUGUGAAAAGCCUUGAGAUAUUCAGUGUAUUCUGGGUUAUGCCUAAGGGAUUGCUUGUGAUCAAAUGUCGAUUCUUUGGAAAAAGUUUUAGUUUAUGCAUUCAUCUACUCAUUUGGAUUGUAUUUUCCUGCUUUUGUAAUCUUUGAGCCUUGAGGUAAUUGUGGGAAGGAACGAUGGAGUUGUGUCCACGGCGUUUCAAUUCCGUAAUUCUCUGAUAAUCUUGUAGACUUGUUAAUGGAAUAAUUCGUGUUAUAAAAUAAUUAGAAAGGAAA